GAUCGGCGCCAAGUUCUGGGAGGUCAUUUGCGAUGAACAUGGCAUUGAUCACACCGGCAAGUACAGCGGCGAUUCUGAGCUUCAACUCGAGCGUAUUAAUGUCUAUUACAAUGAAGCCAGUGGCGGAAGGUAUGUUCCCCGUGCUGUUCUUAUGGAUCUUGAGCCUGGAACCAUGGAUUCCGUCAGAUCCGGACCCUACGGCCAGAUCUUCCGUCCCGAUAACUUCGUUUUUGGUCAGUCUGGGGCUGGGAACAAUUGGGCUAAGGGACAUUACACUGAAGGAGCUGAACUUAUCGAUUCUGUUCUCGACGUUGUCAGG
RNAcentral lists this unclassified non-coding RNA (319 nucleotides) under Hevea brasiliensis (rubber tree). The record is from RNAcentral. Lineage: Eukaryota; Viridiplantae; Streptophyta; Magnoliopsida; Malpighiales; Euphorbiaceae.